This is a long non-coding RNA of Onychostoma macrolepis, 2234 nucleotides long. RefSeq lists it as uncharacterized. The transcript is spliced from 4 exons. Lineage: Eukaryota; Metazoa; Chordata; Actinopteri; Cypriniformes; Cyprinidae. The record is from RefSeq and is a predicted model, not a curated record.
AGGACACAUUGAUAUCCCAGUCAGCACGUGAGAUCACACAAUGAUCACAGUGAUAUCACACCAUUCUCAUACGGUGAUACUCACAGUGUGAGUAAUAUAUGAGCUCAUUGUGAACUCAAAAAGAUGAGCGGGGUUCUUAUUUCUGUCAGACAUCUACAAAAGCGCUUAUUGAGAAUUAACAGAGAUUUAGAUGAUGAUGUUUUAUUGUUUUGUUUGACAUUACCAUCAAUGUGAGUAGUGUUUGCUUUAGUUGGGCUCUUGAACCUUUGACUUCAUAACAUUAUAUUUUUUGGGGCUGCUGUAACUGUUUGAAAAGCACAUUUGUUAUGGCAACGAAAACGAAAGAAAGAGAUUGCAACCAGGUGAUGUUGGUUUGUUGCUGAUGAUAACAGCGGAACCAUCUCCUAGAAUCAGUAUGCAGUCUUUGUGAAGAGUUACUAAUCUAAAGUUUUUAUAAUAGUUCUGUGAUUAUAGGACCCAGCAGUAUCGUUAUCAUUUAUUAAGGAUUUUAAAAGCAUAACUCACAAACAUUUUGAACUACUGUGUAAUUUAAACACAAAUAGAGACAUCAAGAAUCGGUGUAUGAAUCUCAACAAUGGUGACAGUCAAAAGCUUCAUGCUGCAAUGCAUGCUGGGUACCUAGUCUCUGUGCAGUGAGUGCACUUUGACCUCACAUUAGUAUGAGCACACAGUGAGGGCGCUGUGAGGUUACACUUUUAGCUCACUGUUACCUCACAUUGUGACCUCAUCACGAGUAUCCUGUGAGAUCAUGGUGACAUCACUGUAGAUCAAAUUGUUGACUGGGAUGUCAACUACCCAUAUGAGAUAUUUUGAUAGCUCUGUAAAGGUUUUCCUGGCGAUUUGUCAAUGGGUUGUUGGAAAAGGCUUUACUGAAUCGAUGACAUCACUUACAUGGAGAGUAUAAUCGAUUGAAAACAAGUUUUGAUAUUGCAUGGUAAACAAAUAUCAAUACAAAUUGUUCUGUGAUUUCAGGAGGACAGAAAGAAACUCUACAUAACAGAAGGGAAGCUCCAAGAUUUCAACAUUUCUGAAGGGAGCUACUGACUUAGAAAUACAGAUUCUUCAGUGCUGAUGGCCUGCUGCACCCAGCAGAGUUGGAGUGAACCUACUGUCAGACAGUGGCGUACCGUGGGGUUUCAGUCAGGGCCUUCAAUUCUUCAGUGCUGAUGGCCUGCUGCACCCAGCAGAGUCCGUGUGAACUCCUGUAAGACAACAUCACCAAGAUGCUAUAAACCGCAGGACUAGAUGCCCAUCCUGAGGUUACUAGAGAUGAAGCCAGCUCCAGUUUGGAUCCAAACUCACUUGUGAAGAUGCCAACGCUCACAAAGACUACAGAUGACGGCAACUGUACAUGGACACACAAAACACUGGACACACAAAACAAAUAUUAUCCUUAUAUUGCCUAUAAGGGUAAGUUUGACGAUUUUCAAUCCGCUAUUGUAUUAUUGCAAUGUCUGUAAUAUCUGUAAAUGAACAAUAUUUACUCUUUCUCUGAGUUAUAUGGACCCUAUUUGUCCCCUUUUAUUUGUAAGCAGCACUUCGCAAGAUGACGCAAAAUGAAAUGAGUUUUGACAAAAUGACACAAACACUUUUGCAGCAUCUAAAUGAAAAAAUGCUGUUUUGCAUCAGUUUUGCUGACAAAUACACUGGGUAUCUUGGAAAAAAGAAUAAACAUUGUUCUUUUACAUAUGUUACCAACAUUGUAACAAUACAAAAUGGACUGAAAAUUGUUGAACUUACCCUUUAAUAAUGUUGAAGGAUAAUGUUUAACUGAACACAAAAAUAGAGAUUUUAAAUAAAAAUAUUUUAGAAUUUUUAUCAUGCUAUUUAAAAUUUUUAACUGCUUAUUUAUUGUUUUCCUGGUUUUUAAUUUGUGUUUAUGCAACUGUUGUAUUAUUGUAACUCAGUUUUUGCCGUGAAGAUAGCCUUCGAUGCUGACAGCACAGAACACAUGACCUGUUUUAUGAACUACUGUCAUAUGGACAUUAUUUUGUUGCCAGAAGAUGGUCUUCCCCAGUGAGUCUCAGUCACCUCUGGCUGAUUAAAGGAUGUUUUUAAAUUGUAACCUUGAAAUAUGCAUAUUCUGUAAACCUACUUUGAAAUGAGAAGUAUUGUGAAAAGUGCUAUACUUAUACAAUAUUUAACCAUGGUUUUACUAUAGUAAAACUGUAGCAAGCAUGAUUAUAGUAACCAUGUGUUUUUUUUAUUUUUGA